GGCCUAACACAUGCAAGUCGAGCGGCAGCGAGACUAGUAGCAAUACUAGUUGUCGGCGAGCGGCGGACGGGUGAGUAAUACGUAGGGACCUGCCCUCAAGCGGGGGACAACCAAGGGAAACUUUGGCUAAUACCGCAUGAUCUCGAGAGAGUAAAGUUGCCGCAAGGUGACACUUGAGGAGGGGCCUGCGUCCGAUUAGCUAGUUGGUAGGGUAAAAGCCUACCAAGGCGAUGAUCGGUAACUGGUCUGAGAGGACGACCAGUCACACUGGGACUGAGACACGGCCCAGACUCCUACGGGAGGCAGCAGUGGGGAAUAUUGGACAAUGGGGGCAACCCUGAUCCAGCGAUGCCGCGUGGGUGAAGAAGGCCUUCGGGUUGUAAAGCCCUUUAGGUUGGGAGGAAGUGUGUUGGUGGAUAAAGCCAGCAUAUUGACUGUACCGACAGAAUA
RNAcentral lists this ribosomal RNA (450 nucleotides) under uncultured bacterium. Its description in RNAcentral is "bacterial SSU rRNA". It matches the Rfam family "Bacterial small subunit ribosomal RNA", at positions 45 to 488 of the family's 1533-position model. The record is from RNAcentral.